AAACCUGAAUGAAAUAAUCGACUAAGCUCCCGGAAGAGACAAGCCCAUUGUAUGAGAUAGUAAGUCCAUACCUGCUGUUAUCCCUGGCUGAAGAAGGAAGAAGGAUCUGUCAAAGAUAAAGAGAAUCUAACCUAUCCUGUGACAACUUUUAGCAGCGAUUUAUUGACAAGGCAUGACAGAAUCCAAAGGGGUAUCUAUUUUUGUGGUGGAGAAGCUACAGCUGCUGCUUCCUGCAUGGUAUUCUUUGGAAAUAUGCACCCUGUUUUCUAGGGUUUCUGAUAAGAAGACUACUUAAUUUUUACCUUUGUUCCUUUAUCAGUGAAGAGUUUUGGUUUUGUUUAUUUUUUCCUCUCUGGUUUCUUUCAGUAUUUUCCAUCUGUUUUUGAUUUUUUU
This is a long non-coding RNA of Lutra lutra (Eurasian river otter), 393 nucleotides long. RefSeq lists it as uncharacterized. The transcript has 3 exons. Lineage: Eukaryota; Metazoa; Chordata; Mammalia; Carnivora; Mustelidae. The record is from RefSeq and is a predicted model, not a curated record.